UACGGAAGGUGCAAGCGUUGUCCGGAUUGACUGGGUGUAAAGGGCGCGUAGGCGGAGAUGUAUGUCGGGAGUGAAAUCGUGCGGCUUAACCGUACAAUUGCUUUCGAAACUACAUCCCUUGAGUGCAGAAGGGGUAGAUGGAAUUCCUGGUGUAGCGGUGGAAUGCGUAGAUAUCAGGAAGAACACCGGAGGCGAAGGCGGUCUACUGGUCUGUAACUGACGCUGAGGCGCGAAAGUGUGGGGAGCAAACAGG
This 253-nucleotide ribosomal RNA is filed under the name uncultured bacterium. RNAcentral's name for it is "partial 16S ribosomal RNA". It matches the Rfam family "Bacterial small subunit ribosomal RNA", at positions 524 to 776 of the family's 1533-position model. The record is from RNAcentral.